Molecule: ribosomal RNA, 253 nt
Filed under: uncultured bacterium
Lineage: Bacteria
Description: partial 16S ribosomal RNA
Rfam family: Bacterial small subunit ribosomal RNA
Source: RNAcentral
UACGAAGGGGGCUAGCGUUGCUCGGAAUCACUGGGCGUAAAGGGUGCGUAGGCGGGUCUUUAAGUCAGGGGUGAAAUCCUGGAGCUCAACUCCAGAACUGCCUUUGAUACUGAAGAUCUUGAGUUCGGGAGAGGGGAGUGGAACUGCGAGUGUAGAGGUGAAAUUCGUAGAUAUUCGCAAGAACACCAGUGGCGAAGGCGGCUCACUGGCCCGAUACUGACGCUGAGGAGCGAAAGCGUGGGGAGCGAACAGG